This 312-nucleotide ribosomal RNA is filed under the name uncultured bacterium. Its description in RNAcentral is "bacterial SSU rRNA". It matches the Rfam family "Bacterial small subunit ribosomal RNA", at positions 28 to 334 of the family's 1533-position model. The record is from RNAcentral.
GACGAACGCUGGCGGCGUGCUUAACACAUGCAAGUCGAACGCGAAAUUUUUUCUUCGGAGAAAAGAGUAGAGUGGCGCACGGGUGAGUAACGCGUAAGUUAUCUACCCUCCCAUCUGGAAUAACUCACCGAAAGGUGUGCUAAUACCGGAUACGUUGAUUUAUCAAGAAAGGUGGCCUCUAUUUAUAAGCUACCGUGGGGGGAUGAGCUUGCGUACCAUUAGCUAGUUGGUAGGGUAAUGGCCUACCAAGGCAGCGAUGGUUAGCGGGUCUGAGAGGAUGAUCCGCCACACUGGAACUGGAACACGGACCAG